RNAcentral lists this ribosomal RNA (795 nucleotides) under Triticum aestivum (bread wheat). RNAcentral describes it as "partial small subunit ribosomal RNA". The record is from RNAcentral. Lineage: Eukaryota; Viridiplantae; Streptophyta; Magnoliopsida; Poales; Poaceae.
AUGCAGGGUGGCGCCACUGAAAAGGCCACCCUGCAGUACCAUCAGAAGCACUAUGAUUUGGCCUUCUUCAGUGUUAGAAUGGAUCGGCCCGUUCAUAUACUUUCUUUCAAUGAUGGUGUGAAGCGUUCUGACCAAGUUUUUGAGCUUGGAAGAGAUGAAAAGUCGUUUCUAAGGAUAAGCCAUGGUGUGGUGAAAAUCUUGAAUCCAAACCUGCUUGAACGGUAUCACUAUAUGCAUGUUCACAGUGCAGAUCCACACCCCGAUUAUGGCAUAGGAGGGCCACUCAUUGACUUUGGUGGAAAAAUCAUGGGAAUGGUCAAUGGCAAUACAAGCGGGUCUUUUAUACCGUCUUCCAUUUUAGUCAAGUGCUUGCAUUUGUGGAGAAAAUUUGGGUGCAUCCCUCGGCCCCAGCUUGGUAUGAAAUUUUGGUCAAUCAAGUUUGUAGACAUUGCUCUUGCUGAGAAUAUAUUGUGCAAGUGUAAUAUUGAUGAUGGCCUUAUUGUAAAAGAGGUGUCAUAUGGAUCUCCUGCUGAGAAACUUGGAAUACUGGUCGGUGACGUCAUUAAUUGUUUCAAUGGAGAACGCAUCUCUACAACAGUUGAGUUGGAGAAUAUGUUGCUAAGCAAAUGCGAGGAUGAAAAUAAUAGCCUUAAUUCUGAAGUCAAUGUCAAACUUGAUGUGUUUCACAUACGCAAGUCUCGCUGGAGUGACAGAACAUUAACUGUAAAAGUGUCUGAUGACAAUGAAGUUGUUGCAACAGGAGGUAUGUAUCCUUUGCCAAUCUAUUCUAUCUAA